This 348-nucleotide long non-coding RNA is filed under the name Homo sapiens (human). RNAcentral describes it as "HSALNT0275752". The record is from RNAcentral. Lineage: Eukaryota; Metazoa; Chordata; Mammalia; Primates; Hominidae.
GACCUCUCCUCAAAAAGUCUCAGGUGAUUCAGCCCCACAGCAGCAGGGGCACGACACCUUCUGUCCUGAAGGCUGAUAACCGGUGAUGUGGACAGCUGCCAUUCACUCUGGGGAAGAUGCUGCCUAAUUCCACACCCACCGCCUGCAUGUCUAGUGAGAGCCUGCCUAUUCCUAUGGGGACACCCCAAAAUUAGCUCCACCAAGAAGCCUCCUCCACCUCCAUUCUCCACAGAAGACACUCAUCUUAUAUGCUUGGCUACAGGUCCUGUUUGCUCUGCUAUUAUCCCUAUCACCUGUCCCUGUCUGUUCAAUUGUCUCACAUGAGCAGAGAGACGAUGUCUCAUUCAG